This 2154-nucleotide long non-coding RNA is filed under the name Lactuca sativa (garden lettuce). RNAcentral's name for it is "long non-coding RNA (LSAT_LNC007320)". The record is from RNAcentral. Lineage: Eukaryota; Viridiplantae; Streptophyta; Magnoliopsida; Asterales; Asteraceae.
GACUCUAUUGGAAGCAUUAUUUGAAGUAUCAUAUAAGAAAUCAUAGAGUCGGAUGUGAGCGUCGCUGGUUAUCAGUCAGUAGAGUUGGUUUUCCCGCCAAUCUCCAAGUCGGCGAUUAUUCUCCAAAUUGGCAAUCCCAAACGCCAAAUUGGCGAACCAAAUCACACAUUGGACCUAUUCCGAUCGCUAAAAACAUGUUUCAACUAUCAACUUUGCAAUUCGGGAAAAAAAAACAUCGCUACGUCGCUAUUUUGUCACUACAGAUCACAUAGUGACAUACCAUCGCAUCGCCUCACUAAUCGCUAUAGCAAUCGCUGUUGUCGUGACAUACCAUCGCAUCGCCUCGCUAAACGCUAUUGACAACAUUGGUGUCCGUCAACCUCGAAUACCUCUUCCUGGAGGCAUGAUUUCGUCAUAUUAUACUAGGGUAUAUAGAGCAAAUAAGUUUGUACAAUCAUGUUAGUCAAAACUAUGCAAAUGUAUGUGACCAUUUUAAGUUGAAAUGUUUCUGAAAUUCCUAAGGAUUCCCCAGUUUGCAAAUGAUUGAAUAUUCAAAUGAACAAUAUUCAAAAUAACAUGAUUUUGUGAUAAUAAACAUAUGCUUCUUAUAUACAUAUCUUUGAAACGGUUACAUCAGUCAAAAGCUAAUCCCAAAAGUCUAGUAGGGUUAGGAUGGAAAAGAUCUAUACAAUGUUAUCCAAAAUAUUAUGCCGAAAAAGAUAGCAAGGAUUCUAUACUCUUGCUUAUAACGACUUUUCCUUAUACCCCUAACCCAAGCCCCAGGGCACAACCCGCCCGAGUGAGUCUACCACUAACCAAAAAGAGAGAUUAGUACAGCCUGGAGUGCGUUAGCCCUCUGUUCUGCAACAUCUGCUAAGGCCUCUGGUUUGCUACCUGAUCCCCGAGCUCAAGUUUGGUAAUCCAGGCCUCAAGGGUCGUCAUUUCUAUCUCCAAAGAAUCCAGACGGUCAUAUACAGUCUGGAUGGCCUCCUCACGCAGAAUGCGUUCAUCCUCCAGGUACUGCAUCAUAGCCUCACGGGUUACAAAACUGUUGCAAAAAAUUUAUACUUUACACCCCUAUACAUUGUCGGUAUGACUAUUGGAAGAAGAUAAUUAAGUUGUAUUCAUAUCAUAGGUGACUAUUGUCUUCAAUCAAACUCAGCAUAGUUAGAAAUCUAGUUAAAGGUGUACCCUUUUUAAUAAAUACAAGACAAAUAGCAGAAAGAGAUUUGUGUUGAUCAUUUUUGUGUAUCAUUUAGUGGCCUUUUAAUGUGUGUAACAAGCAAAAUGGUGGCUAUUAGAGAGAUGGAGUCUAUACGCAAGUUCUGGUUAGUUCUAGACUAAAAUAAAAUAAUGAGUUUAAAAUUGUUAAAGCUUUAAAAAGAUUUAAUGGUUUGAUGCAGUAAAGCUUCAGGGGAUGUUAUAGGCAUAUGCCCUUUUUGUGUCUUAAUCCAGAAAUCAAGCUACACAAUCUUCCAUUCUCAACAUUUUAAGCUAAGCCAAAAUAGAGUAACCUGUUCAAGCCCAAAAAAGUGCUUAAGUUUUUAAUAAAUAUGCACCUACGUCAACUUGAAAAUAGACAAAAAAAAAAAAAGAUGAUCCAUAAAACUUCAGUCAAAACUAGGAUUCAAAAUAGAUGCACACAGCUUCUAAAAGCUUCACUCAAAACUAGGAUUUAGCAGAUAAAAAUUAGAUAUGAAGUUUGUACAAUAUUAUACACCUAGAAAAAUAUAUUUACAAUGGGUGUUUAAGGGCCAGUCUAGUCAGUAACUUAUUCCCAAAACGUGCAGAAGAAGCUAAAAUGUAUCUCAUGUUCAUGAAAGGGGGCGUUUUACAGAUAGAAAUAUCAAAAUAAGUAAAAUACGCAAAUUAAAUUAGCAUCGUAACCUUGGAGGUGGAGAAGCCCUCUUAGAUUGAGGUGGUGGAAAGCGAGAGCGAGAGCGGGAGGAUGAGCCUGAACCAGACCCCGCAGGAGCCGCCGGACGACCACGUCCUUGUUUCUCCAUGCGCAACAGUAGUGAUCAGUUCCUGAUUGGAAACCCCUUCGGAGUUCAGACAAAACCUAGCAAAGAAUUGGACUGCGAUUUCGAUUGUUAGAUGGAUGAUAGCUUGUGGGUAUACAUGUGUGCUUGGUUUAACUUUCUAGAAGUUUUG